AUGAACGCUGGCGGCGUGCCUAAUACAUGCAAGUCGAGCGAACAGACGAGGAGCUUGCUCCUCUGACGUUAGCGGCGGACGGGUGAGUAACACGUGGAUAUCCUACCUAUAAGACUGGGAUAACUUCGGGAAACCGGAGCUAAUACCGGAUAAUAUAUUGAACCGCAUGGUUCAAUAGUGAAAGACGGUUUUGCUGUCACUUAUAGAUGGAUCCGCGCCGCAUUAGCUAGUUGGUAAGGUAACGGCUUACCAAGGCAACGAUGCGUAGCCGACCUGAGAGGGUGAUCGGCCACACUGGAACUGAGACACGGUCCAGACUCCUACGGGAGGCAGCAGUAGGGAAUCUUCCGCAAUGGGCGAAAGCUUGACGGAGCAACGCCGCGUGAGUGAUGAAGGUCUUCGGAUCGUAAAACUCUGUUAUUAGGGAAGAACAAAUGUGUAAGUAACUAUGCACGUCUUGACGGUACCUAAUCAGAAAGCCACGGCUAACUACGUG
Molecule: ribosomal RNA, 496 nt
Filed under: uncultured bacterium
Lineage: Bacteria
Description: partial 16S ribosomal RNA
Rfam family: Bacterial small subunit ribosomal RNA
Source: RNAcentral